UAGCCGUAAACGAUACUCGCUAGGUGUCGGCCACGGUGCGACCGUUGUCGGUGCCGUAGGGAAGCCGUGAAGCGAGCCACCUGGGAAGUACGGCCGCAAGGCUGAAACUUAAAGGAAUUGGCGGGGGAGCACCACAACGGGUGGAGCUUGCGGUUUAAUUGGAUUCAACGCCGGAAAUCUUACCGGGACCGACAGCAACAUGAAGGCCAGGCUGAAGACUUUGCCGGAUUAGCUGAGAGGUGUGCAUGGCGUAGUCGUGU
RNAcentral lists this ribosomal RNA (260 nucleotides) under uncultured archaeon. RNAcentral's name for it is "partial 16S ribosomal RNA". It matches the Rfam family "Archaeal small subunit ribosomal RNA", at positions 748 to 1009 of the family's 1478-position model. The record is from RNAcentral.